UACAGAGGUCCCAAGCGUUGUUCGGAUUCACUGGGCGUAAAGGGUGCGUAGGUGGUGAGGUAAGUCCGAUGUGAAAGCUCCGAGCUCAACUCGGAAAUUGCAUUAGAAACUACCUUGCUAGAGGGUUGGAGGGGGGACUGGAAUUCUCGGUGUAGCAGUGAAAUGCGUAGAUAUCGAGAGGAACACCAGUGGCGAAGGCGAGUCCCUGGACAGCUCCUGACACUGAGGCACGAAAGCUAGGGGAGCAAACAGG
This 253-nucleotide ribosomal RNA is filed under the name uncultured bacterium. Its description in RNAcentral is "partial 16S ribosomal RNA". It matches the Rfam family "Bacterial small subunit ribosomal RNA", at positions 524 to 776 of the family's 1533-position model. The record is from RNAcentral.